UCUCCGUUGGUGAACCAGCGGAGGGAUCAUUACAGAGUUAUCUAACUCCCAAACCCAUGUGAACUUACCAUUUGUUGCCUCGGCAGAGCCUACCCGGUAACUGUUCGGAGAAGCUACCCUGUAGCUACCCUGUAACGGCCUACCCUGUAGCGGGCUGCCGGCGGACCUCUAAACUCUUGUUAUACUAUUGUAAUCUGAGCGUCUUAUUUUAAUAAGUCAAAACUUUCAACAACGGAUCUCUUGGUUCUGGCAUCGAUGAAGAACGCAGC
Molecule: unclassified non-coding RNA, 269 nt
Filed under: uncultured fungus
Lineage: Eukaryota; Fungi
Description: sequence contains ITS1, 5.8S rRNA gene
Rfam family: 5.8S ribosomal RNA (bases 221-269)
Source: RNAcentral